GAUGAACGCUGGCGGCGUGCCUAAUACAUGCAAGUCGAGCGAACGGACGAGAAGCUUGCUUCUCUGAUGUUAGCGGCGGACGGGUGAGUAACACGUGGAUAACCUACCUAUAAGACUGGGAUAACUUCGGGAAACCGGAGCUAAUACCGGAUAAUAUUUUGAACCGCAUGGUUCAAAAGUGAAAGACGGUCUUGCUGUCACUUAUAGAUGGAUCCGCGCUGCAUUAGCUAGUUGGUAAGGUAACGGCUUACCAAGGCAACGAUGCAUAGCCGACCUGAGAGGGUGAUCGGCCACACUGGAACUGAGACACGGUCCAGACUCCUACGGGAGGCAGCAGUAGGGAAUCUUCCGCAAUGGGCGAAAGCCUGACGGAGCAACGCCGCGUGAGUGAUGAAGGUCUUCGGAUCGUAAAACUCUGUUAUUAGGGAAGAACAUAUGUGUAAGUAACUGUGCACAUCUUGACGGUACCUAAUCAGAAAGCCACGGCUAACUACGUGCCAGCAGCCGCGGUAAUACGUAGGUGGCAAGCGUUAUCCGGAAUUAUUGGGCGUAAAGCGCGCGUAGGCGGUUUUUUAAGUCUGAUGUGAAAGCCCACGGCUCAACCGUGGAGGGUCAUUGGAAACUGGAAAACUUGAGUGCAGAAGAGGAAAGUGGAAUUCCAUGUGUAGCGGUGAAAUGCGCAGAGAUAUGGAGGAACACCAGUGGCGAAGGCGACUUUCUGGUCUGUAACUGACGCUGAUGUGCGAAAGCGUGGGGAUCAAACAGGAUUAGAUACCCUGGUAGUCCACGCCGUAAACGAUGAGUGCUAAGUGUUAGGGGGUUUCCGCCCCUUAGUGCUGCAGCUAACGCAUUAAGCACUCCGCCUGGGGAGUACGACCGCAAGGUUGAAACUCAAAGGAAUUGACGGGGACCCGCACAAGCGGUGGAGCAUGUGGUUUAAUUCGAAGCAACGCGAAGAACCUUACCAAAUCUUGACAUCCUUUGACAACUCUAGAGAUAGAGCCUUCCCCUUCGGGGGACAAAGUGACAGGUGGUGCAUGGUUGUCGUCAGCUCGUGUCGUGAGAUGUUGGGUUAAGUCCCGCAACGAGCGCAACCCUUAAGCUUAGUUGCCAUCAUUAAGUUGGGCACUCUAAGUUGACUGCCGGUGACAAACCGGAGGAAGGUGGGGAUGACGUCAAAUCAUCAUGCCCCUUAUAAUUUGGGCUACACACGUGCUACAAUGGACAAUACAAAGGGCAGCGAAACCGCGAGGCCAAGCAAAUCCCAUAAAGUUGUUCUCAGUUCGGAUUGUAGUCUGCAACUCGACUACAUGAAGCUGGAAUUGCUAGUAAUCGUAGAUCAGCAUGCUACGGUGAAUACGUUCCCGGGUCU
Molecule: ribosomal RNA, 1372 nt
Filed under: uncultured bacterium
Lineage: Bacteria
Description: bacterial SSU rRNA
Rfam family: Bacterial small subunit ribosomal RNA
Source: RNAcentral